ACCGUAUUAAAAAGACGAAAAAACAACAGCCCGAUUAGAGACAACUGUCAAGGUUUCAGUUAUAAGAUAUAAAAAACAUAUGUGACAAUGGUACCUCAGAAAGGGGGGAGUAUACUCGGUUCUAGACCUUUUACUAUACAAAUAAAGGCAACAGUAGUAUACCGCUGUUCAAAACUCAUAAAUCUAUGGACAAAAAACAAAAUCGGG
This 207-nucleotide long non-coding RNA is filed under the name Mytilus galloprovincialis (Mediterranean mussel). The record is from RNAcentral. Lineage: Eukaryota; Metazoa; Mollusca; Bivalvia; Mytilida; Mytilidae.